CGUCGAGCGGCGGACGGGUGAGUAAUGCUUGGGAAUAUGCCUUAUGGUGGGGGACAACAGUUGGAAACGACUGCUAAUACCGCAUGAUGUCUACGGACCAAAGUGGGGGACCUUCGGGCCUCACGCCAUAAGAUUAGCCCAAGUGGGAUUAGCUAGUUGGUGAGGUAAUGGCUCACCAAGGCGACGAUCCCUAGCUGGUUUGAGAGGAUGAUCAGCCACACUGGGACUGAGACACGGCCCAGACUCCUACGGGAGGCAGCAGUGGGGAAUAUUGCACAAUGGGCGCAAGCCUGAUGCAGCCAUGCCGCGUGUGUGAAGAAGGCCUUCGGGUUGUAAAGCACUUUCAGUAAGGAGGAAAGGUUAAGUGUUAAUAGCACUUAGCUGUGACGUUACUUACAGAAGAAGCACCGGCUAACUCCGUGCCAGCAGCCGCGGUAAUACGGAGGGUGCGAGCGUUAAUCG
RNAcentral lists this ribosomal RNA (462 nucleotides) under Pseudoalteromonas mariniglutinosa. RNAcentral's name for it is "bacterial SSU rRNA". It matches the Rfam family "Bacterial small subunit ribosomal RNA", at positions 89 to 547 of the family's 1533-position model. Lineage: Bacteria; Pseudomonadati; Pseudomonadota; Gammaproteobacteria; Alteromonadales; Pseudoalteromonadaceae. The record is from RNAcentral.